RNAcentral lists this small RNA (67 nucleotides) under Halobacillus alkaliphilus. RNAcentral's name for it is "Bacillaceae-1 RNA". It matches the Rfam family "Bacillaceae-1 RNA". Lineage: Bacteria; Bacillati; Bacillota; Bacilli; Caryophanales; Bacillaceae. The record is from RNAcentral.
CUCAAGAUAUGUUCGACUAAGAACGCCACCUCGUGUGGCAACGUCGAACGACCCUGUGUCGUGCAGG